Formica exsecta is the source of this 680-nucleotide long non-coding RNA. RefSeq lists it as uncharacterized. The transcript is spliced from 2 exons. The record is from RefSeq and is a predicted model, not a curated record. NCBI's taxonomy places the organism in Eukaryota, Metazoa, Arthropoda, Insecta, Hymenoptera, Formicidae.
AUAUGCAGGAUGUCUGAUAAUAAUUGCCUCAUCUGUACUCUGCAGAUAGAGCAGAUUAAAUCGAGUAGAAAAGUCCUCUACCGUUUUACAUUUGUAUGUAACUGUUGUCAUUUGUAGGGUGCUCCUCUCAAAACUUUGUCGCGUGCCUAGCGCAUACUUUUGGGUUGUCUCUUCCCGCUGCGCGCUUGUAUUUAGUUAGCUAGUUAGUAGAUCUUUUUUAAUUAUUUUCUCAAUAAUUAUUAUAAAAAUAACAAAAUGGUGAAGGAUUUUUUUAUUUGAUUUAACUCGCUCUACCUGCACAUUACGGAUAGGGCGAUUAUUAUCAAACACCCUGUAUAUAUUUACAUAGGUUAUACGUAUAUGGAUUUUCAUUGUUAUAUUAUAUAUCUCGGGAAAUAUAAUUUAACAAUUUAAAAGGUUUUUUAAAUUUUAUAAUCUUUGUUUAGAUAUACAACUUGAACAAGAUUCGUCAUCUGAUAUUAAUGAAUCACAAUCAUUCCAUUAUAGUGAUUAUUUGUCACAGAACGAAGAAUUUUUUCAAGAUGAUAUUUGGAUAAAUAGCCAGAAAGAUAUUCCAAAACAUAAAUAUUUAGAGAGAUAUCCAAAAAAGACAAAUACGAAUGCAACUUUAAUGGAAGAAAAGCGGUCUGUUCCUGUGAUAAAAUCCAGUAUGUAACAAG